Molecule: ribosomal RNA, 442 nt
Filed under: uncultured bacterium
Lineage: Bacteria
Description: SSU rRNA
Rfam family: Bacterial small subunit ribosomal RNA
Source: RNAcentral
AGAGCGAACGCUGGCGGCAUGCUUAACACAUGCAAGUCGCACGGUCGGAGCGAUCCGGCAGUGGCGGACGGGUGAGUAACGCGUAGGAAUCUAUCCUCAGGUGGGGGACAACGGUUGGAAACGACUGCUAAUACCGCAUGAUACCUGUGGGUCAAAGGCGCAAGUCGCCUGGGGAGGAGCCUGCGUACGAUUAGCUAGUUGGUGGGGUGAUGGCCUACCAAGGCUGCGAUCGUUAGCUGGUCUGAGAGGAUGAUCAGCCACACUGGGACUGAGACACGGCCAGACUCCUACGGGAGGCAGCAGUGGGGAAUAUUGGACAAUGGGCGAAAGCCUGAUCCAGCAAUGCCGCGUGUGUGAGAAGGUCUUCGGAUUGUAAAGCACUUUCGACGGGACGAUGAUGACGGUACCGUAGAGAAGCCCGGCUAACUCGUGCCAGCAGCGC